UGGGGAAUAUUGGGCAAUGGGCGCAAGCCUGACCCAGCAACGCCGCGUGAAGGAAGAAGGCUUUCGGGUUGUAAACUUCUUUUCUCGAGGGACGAAGAAGUGACGUAC
Molecule: ribosomal RNA, 108 nt
Filed under: uncultured bacterium
Lineage: Bacteria
Description: partial 16S ribosomal RNA
Rfam family: Bacterial small subunit ribosomal RNA
Source: RNAcentral